Chenopodium quinoa (quinoa) is the source of this 2499-nucleotide long non-coding RNA. RefSeq lists it as uncharacterized. NCBI's taxonomy places the organism in Eukaryota, Viridiplantae, Streptophyta, Magnoliopsida, Caryophyllales, Amaranthaceae. The transcript has 5 exons. The record is from RefSeq and is a predicted model, not a curated record.
AACAUGGUUCAUAUAUUAUGGAAAAAAAAAAACAGAAAAAAGGUGAAACGUGAGUUUUAGCUAAUUAGGUCAUCUCCUCUUCAUUCACCCUUUCAGCCGUUUUUGGUUCUUCUUCUUCUUCAUUCUUCUGUUCUUCUUCAUCAUCCUCAAAUCGGUUCUUCUUCAUCAUCCUCAAAUCGGUUCUUCUUCAUCAUCCUCAAAUCAAGCGCCGAAUCCUCACUCACUCUUUAGUUCUCAACUCUUCAAGCUCAAUUUGAGUUCUCCAUCUUCAAAUCUUCCUCUCCUUCAAGCUGUCACAGCUUAAAGCAAUGGAGCAAGAGUUUAGUGGUUUUGAUGAGGAUUCUACUGUUCAGAAUCAAGAUUCUACUGAACAUACCACUAGUGGUAGUAAGCGUGGACGAACAUCAGAUGUUUGGAGGCAUUACACCUUUUUUGAUAAGAUGGUUGGUCUUGCUCCGGUAAAAUAUGCUCGAUGCAAUGUUUGUGGUAAUGAAUAUAAAACACCAGGCAAGGCAGGUACUUCAACUUGUAAAGCUCAUACUAAGACAUGCAUGAGUAAAAAUCCACACCAUCCUGGAAAUCAUGAAAGUGGUCUUUAGUCCCUGUUUAAUCAGACUCGUCAUUUACAAUUGCUUGCUAGAGCUAUAAUUUUGCAUUCCUAUCUUUUAAGUAUUGUAGAGCAUCAUGGCCUUAGGGAAGUUUUUACGAACCUGAAUCCCAACGUGCAGCAUGUGUGUAGAAACACUAUUUUGAAAUAUUGCAUUGCUGAGCAUGAUAAGUUUAAGUCUUUAUUGUUGCAAUCUUUUUCUGGAAUUGAAGGUAGAGUUAGCUUCACUUGUGACUUGUGGACAACAUGCACUAAUCAAGGUUAUUUCACCUUAACUGCACAUUAUGUUGAUAAAAAUUGGUGUCUUAGAUCUAAAAUACUGAAUGUUAGAUAUUGUGGUCCUCCUCAUACUGGUGUUGAGGUAGAAAUUUUUUUGUUAAAACUUAUUGGGGAGUGGAACCUUCAGGGUAAAGCUUUUGCAAUGAGUGUUGAUAAUGCUCGAUCCAUGGAUGUUAUGGUUAACCUUUUGAAGAAAGAUUUAAUGUUGACUUCUCCUCUUCCUUGUAAUGGCAAAUUUUUUCAUAUUCGAUGUUCUGCUCAUGUCUUGAACAUUAUUGUUCAAAGAGGUUUAAAAGAAGUUGAUAGUAGUGUUCAAAAAUUGCGUGAGGUUUGUAAAUAUAUUGAUUCUUCAGACUCUAGACUCACUCAAUUUGAGCAUGCUCUUCAUGAGGUUAACUGUGUGUUUAAUGGAAAGUUACGUCUUGAUGUUGUGACUCGUUGGAAUGCCACCUAUACGAUGCUCCGAAAAGCUUUAGAAGCAAAGUAAGCCUUGAAAUUGGUUAUUGAUAGGUUUAUGAUUUAUGAAUUCAAACUUUCAGAUGACUAAUGGGAUACCCUUGCUAAAAUAUGACAUUUCCUAAAGCCAUUUCAUGAAAUCACCGUGUUAUUUUCUGGUUCAGAAUAUCCUACUGCAAAUUUGUAUUUUGCUAGUGUUUUGAAAAUUGAGCACACAAUAAGUAGAGCCCAUAUAGACCCUAAACUUGCACCCAUGGACAAAGUUAUGCUUGAAAAGUUUGAGGGCUAUUGGGAUGAAUAUAGUUUGAUCCUUUCAAUUGCUAUUGUACUUGAUCCUCGCUAUAAGCUUGUUCGAUUGACGAAGAUGUUAAAAGCGCUUUAUGUUGAUGAGGCAUGUGUUGAAAAGGCGAAGGUGAUUAAAGAUACUCUUUUGGAGUUGUAUAACUUUUAUUCUUCUAUGGUUUCCGGUUUUAAAUCAAGUACAAUUGUUCCACCUUCCAACCCAAGUGUUAUCGAUACUUCAAAUAGUCACUUCGAUGAUGAUAUAUAUUCAAGUAUGUUGAUGAUGAUGAUGACGAGGAUGGCCCAUCAAAUCGGCCAUCGAUGGAGAUUGAUUCUUAUUUGAAUACUCCUCGGCAACCAAUUUAUGAAGGGCAGAAUUAUGAUGUUCUCAAGUAUUGGGAAUCUCAGAUUAGUGUGUACCCCAUAUUAGCUGUUAUGGCUAGGGAUGUUUUGGCCAUUCCUAUUACAUCGGUAGCCUCUGAGUCUUCUUUUAGCAUGGGUGGUUGUAUUUUAAACAAGUAUAGGAGUGCGCUUUUGCCUAAGAAUGUUGAGGCGUUGGUGACCACACAAAAUUGGUUACGUGGUUAUGAUUGUGAUAUUGAGGAAGACGUCCUUGAAAUUGGUAAAGAAGUGAUAGAUGAAAGUUUUGCAUCUAAUUAAGAAGGGACUUGGAGAUCUAGAAAUUGAGCUGGUGAUACCUUAGACAAGGAUGCAAGAUCAAGAAACGAAAGUCUAUAUAAGACCAUCAUUUUGCUUUCCCCUACCGUGGUCUGUAGUAAAAUUGUCCUUGAACAAAAACUUGACUUCUGCACCUAUGGAUUAAUGUGUAAAAUAUACUAUUGUGAUAUUGUCCCUGAUACAAGCCUUCUUGCAAA